UGGGUCCACAGUCCCCAUGCCCUCCAAAAUUGUACCUACGCCAUUUGAUUCCCGUGAGUUCAGCCAGCGAAAAGAGGUUGGAGUGACAAUCCUCCAGGCUCGCCCCGUUCGCCACCCAGUUCGCUGCCGCAGUCAUGAUCCUCCGCGAGCCCGGCCGCCAGAGCGGGGCAUGUCGGAGCGAGGCGUCCGAGGCGAGGCCGGGCCGGGCGGCGGCGCCUCGCCGGGGAGCGCGGGGCGGCCGGGCCGCCGCCGCCGCCGGGGGAGGGCGCGAGGGCCGGCGGG
RNAcentral lists this long non-coding RNA (282 nucleotides) under Homo sapiens (human). RNAcentral's name for it is "LNC_000873". The record is from RNAcentral. Lineage: Eukaryota; Metazoa; Chordata; Mammalia; Primates; Hominidae.